Long non-coding RNA from Sapajus apella (tufted capuchin), 130 nucleotides. RefSeq lists it as uncharacterized. The record is from RefSeq and is a predicted model, not a curated record. Lineage: Eukaryota; Metazoa; Chordata; Mammalia; Primates; Cebidae. The transcript is spliced from 2 exons.
AAUGAAAUAAAAUGGGAAGGCAAGACUGGAGAAAAAAGGGUAAAAAGGAAUGAACAAAGUCUCCAAGAAAUAAAAGUGGGACUAUGUGAAAAGACCUAAUCUACGUUUGAUAGGCGUACCCGAAUGCGAC